Molecule: non-coding RNA, 1426 nt
Organism: Oryzias melastigma (Indian medaka)
Lineage: Eukaryota; Metazoa; Chordata; Actinopteri; Beloniformes; Adrianichthyidae
Source: the annotation of a RefSeq genome assembly
GUGAACCAAGCUCCUGCUCCACUAAUACAGAGACCGGACAGCCCUCAGUAAAGCUCCCCAGACCUCGUACUCCCAGACCAUCUUCUAUAGGACACCUACGAGGACGCAGUCAAACUCCUUCUCCAAAUUCCCACAAACCUUCCAGUAUCCUAGAGAGAGUGUAGAGCUGGUCCACCGUUCCACGACCAGGACAGAAACCACACUGCUGUUCUUGAAUCUGAGGUUUGACCAUCAGGCGGACUCUCCUCUCAGUACCCUGUCAUAGACUUUCCCAGGGAGGCUGAGGAGUGUGAUUCCCUAAUAGUUGUACUCUAGUAAUACAUUUUAGGGAUAAAUCCAUGACCUCCUAUCAGAAGAUACAUAUUAAAAAAAAAACAAUGUCUGGUUUGGUUACUUUAACCAGUAGGGGGCAGUGUUUGCCCACUAGACCUGCACGUUCUCACAUGUUUCCUCAGAUCAGUGGAUCUCAGCCUGCAGAGACACACCUCCCUGCAGACUUCAUCUCUUUAACUGCAUCCAGACAUAACAGACACUUUUCCUUUCCAACAUGACUUCUAGCAGACGUGGUCUCCUCAGCUUGUUGCUGUUUGUUCUCUGGAUCAAAGGUGGGACUGAUGGAAGUGAUGUCAGCCAGACCUCCAUGCUGUGGAUCAAUGAGGGUCAAGAUGCAACCAUGAACUGCAGCCACACAAAGGGUGCUACAUAUUAUCAGAUGUACUGGUACAGACAGCUGCCUGGAAAAACCAUGGAGCUGAUCGUCUUCACGUCUACAACUCAGAGGAAUGGAGAACAUGACUUUGGAGCUUUCAGCAAAGAGAAGUUCUCAGCCACCAAGACAGAAGCUGAGAGAGGAACAUUCACAGUGAAGGAGGUGCAGCCUGAAGAUAAAGGCUUGUAUUUCUGUGCUGUGAGUCAACACAGUGAUACAAACCAAUGAGAGAGCUGAACAAAAACCUCUGAGCUGAAACCAUCUGUGUUUCUUCUUUUCUUCACUUAGUCUAGUUUGUGGUUUCUGGGUUUAGAAAAACAUAAAUGCUGCCAUGUGUCUUAUUAGUUUGUGGAGACUUAGAUCAAUUUAAGAAAUAAUUUCAAUGAAACAAAAGUUCCACAGUUUAUAUUAAUAUUGAAAAAGUCUCUUUGAUUUUACUUUAUAAUAGAAUGAAGUGAAAGUUGCAUCACAAACGCUGAAAAACUGAAAAUGGAGAAUGAAAAAGGGAAAUAAAUCCAAUCAAAAGUCUGUUUUUCUAUCUGAAUCUGCUGCUCUGGAACUAAAGUUUGACCAAAAUCAGUUUGUUAAAAGACCACACCCACAUUUAAGAUCAAAUUCACAGAAAGUUACAAAUACUCUCAUAAACUUGUUAUAAUUACAUCCUCCAAUCACAGAGACAGAAAGGGUUUUAGAACGGCUGAUAGGUUCGUUUGUUUG